GAUUCUAUGGGGAACAGGCGUUUGCACUACCUUGACAGGGUAGGGGUCGCUGGUUCAAGUCCAGUCGGAAUCA
Molecule: transfer RNA, 73 nt
Filed under: Terribacillus halophilus
Lineage: Bacteria; Bacillati; Bacillota; Bacilli; Caryophanales; Bacillaceae
Description: tRNA_Val_GAC
Rfam family: tRNA
About the family: Transfer RNA (tRNA) molecules are approximately 80 nucleotides in length. Their secondary structure includes four short double-helical elements and three loops (D, anti-codon, and T loops).
Source: RNAcentral